Ostrinia furnacalis (Asian corn borer) is the source of this 3083-nucleotide RNA transcript. It is a transcript of the gene named Glutamate oxaloacetate transaminase 1, with no coding region annotated. The transcript is spliced from 10 exons. The record is from RefSeq and is a predicted model, not a curated record. Lineage: Eukaryota; Metazoa; Arthropoda; Insecta; Lepidoptera; Crambidae.
UUUUCGAAGUUUGUGACAUUGAAUAACACACGAAAGGUCAAUGAAAUAAACUCCGAGUUUUAGUAGAAAUCAUUAACAUUUUACAGCGAAAUUAACAUAACUGAUUGCAUUUCGCAGUCGCGCUUUGUUCAGGGUAGUCGUGUGUUCAGUAAAUUAUAAAGAUGGGUUCCCGUUUUCAAGUGGUUGAACAAGGCCCGCCGAUUGAAGUUUUUCAGCUAAAUAAACUUUUUGUAGAGGAUACAUACCAGAAUAAAGUUAAUCUAGGUGUUGGGGCAUACAGAGAUGAAAAUGGCAAGCCCUGGGUGCUUCCCGUUGUCCGGAAGAUGGAGAAACAAAUGGCUGCUGACGACACCCUCCUCCACGAGUACUUGCCAGUACUUGGAUUGGAACAGUUCUCAGCGUCAUCAGUGUCCAUGCUGCUAGGAGAAGACAGCCCGGCCAUCGCCGCCGGUCGCGCGUUUGGCGUUCAAACACUAUCCGGCACGGGCAGUUUGCGCGUCGGCGCCGAACUGUUGAACAAGCACCUCAAGUAUACCACCUUCUACUACUCAAGUCCUACGUGGGAGAACCACCACCUCGUAUUCAUCAACUCCGGCUUCACGCAGCCUCGUACCUACCGUUACUGGGACGACAAGACCCGCUCGUUGGACUUUGACGGUCUGAUUGAGGACCUGAAGAAUGCGCCAGAGAACAGCGUCAUUAUACUACACGCGUGCGCACACAAUCCCACUGGCAUGGACCCCACGCAGGAGCAGUGGGAGAAGAUCGCUGACGUCAUGGAGGAGCGCAAGUUGUUUCCGUUCUUCGACAGCGCGUACCAGGGCUUCGCAUCAGGCGACCUCGACAAGGACGCCUGGGCAGUACGUUACUUCGUCAAGCGAGGCUUCGAGCUCAUCUGCGCGCAGUCUUACGCGAAGAACUUCGGGCUCUACAACGAGCGAGUGGGCAACCUGACGCUGGUGGUGUCGGACGCGUCGCUGGUUCCCGCCAUCAAGUCGCAGCUGACGUGGGUGGUGCGCGGCAUGUACUCCAACCCGCCGGCGCACGGCGCGCGCGUCGUCGCCAACGUGCUGGCCAACAAGCAGCUGUUCGAUGAAUGGAGGGACCACAUUAAGGUGAUGUCUUCAAGAGUCAUCCAGAUGAGAGAAGCUUUGAGAGCGGAGCUUAUCAAACUAGGCACGCCCGGCAACUGGGACCACAUAGUAAAGCAGAUCGGCCUAUUCUCCUACACCGGCCUGACCCCUCGUCAAGUCGAGCACCUAAUCCAGGAGUACCACAUCUACCUGCUCCGCUCAGGCCGCAUCAACAUCUGUGGCCUGAAUCCGGGCAACGUGGUCUAUAUGGCCAAGGCGAUCCACGACGCCGUCACCAAGUUCCCGGCUGAACAGUAAAGUUAUUUUUGGUUAUGAACUCUGCCAGCAGAGUUGGUGGUGUGGCUUAUCUGGCUCGGGCGAUGGAAUGAUGGACCAAUGAUUUAAUAUUUAUUGUAUUUACAAUUAUAGGGUGCGCAGCAAGAGUUGAGACGAUCAAUUAUCAACACAAGCAAAGAUUAGUAUCUGUAUACGCUUGUCGCGGUGACGUCUUGUGUACUGUUCUGAAUCCAAAUAGAUAUUACAUCAGUGUAUUCACUGUGAGUACGUGUUCGCCUCAACUUUCGUUACGCAACCUAUAAAAUUUACGGUCAUUUUACAUUUUACACCUUGUUAUAACUGGCAUGACAUUGUUCAAAUUCCGUACAGUUAAGACAACGUAAAUCUCUUGAGAUUUUGUAACAUCAUGCUCGUGAGAGUAAUGAUUUAUGCCCGUAUGAAAAUAGAUUUUAACUCGUUGAUCAGAGAAUUGACUAUCUCUGUAGCAUUUACAUUUGCUUAUAAGUUUAGCUGUCACCCGGACCAGAUAAGUGUGUUUCGUUACCAGAUGAUGACAUGGUGUGGAAUGCGGGUUUGUCUGUAUUGAUUUGCAGACUUCGUACACAUUUCGCCGCGUACCAUUAUUAAUAUCGUUUUAAUUUUCUUAUAUACGUUCAACGCUUUUCAAUAUCUAUGUAUUCCGCGCUAUGAUUUAUACAUUAAUUUGUGAUUAUUUUAUGAACAACUUCUUGAAAUUAGUCUUCUAUAGAAGCUUGCUCGAUACGUUUUUUAUUGUAGCAGACAAUACUUUAAUGGCAAAGAAAAACCCAUGGAAUAGAACACCAGCUUGCAAAGAGCUUAAAUUUGUAUAGUACGUAAAUUAUUGCGAGGUUAUACAAUAAUAUAGCUCAAUUUACUCGUAUGUAUAAUAAAAAUCCAUUGUUUUACGUAAAUUACAUUACGUAAGCACUCGGUUAAUUAUUAGCUGGUAGGCCCCAUGCACACGUGGAAAAUAUAUGUCAUUUUGAAUAGCUAUAAAGUAAAAUUUAAGAAUCUUUACUAAUAUGUUGAAGUAUUGAAUCAAAAUUGAGAUUAUCAUCAUGUAUUAUUUUAAAAAUAUACUAAUAAUUACGUCAAAAAUAUACUCAAAAUCGUACUAAAAUUCAUUAAUCAAAAUUAUAUUGUUAUUGCUCAUUAAUGAUAAUAAAAUCAUGGUCUAGAGUUUUAAAUGUUUUAUAGCACAGUAAUGAGAAUCAGGUUAUGUAAAUAGAAUUAUAUUUUAUACUUUAUUUGAAUUAGGCUGUGAAGUUUGUUUUGAAUAUCACAAAUAUUUUGCAAUAUACUUUGUUUUAAAUUGUUAUCCGAUCAUAUAGUUUAUUUAUUUUAUAAUACGCUCGUUUAACGUGUCUAGCAUUUGAUAAGGGCUUACACUGGGUACCCACUUCCGUGUGGGAAUUUAUUCCAUUUUAACCGCACACUUUCCAAAGAAUGUGGGUAAAUAAUCUUAACCCAUUUAUCAUUGGUGGGUUCACUUUUAACCAGUGUUGCCCUGAUAAUUUUAAUGUUUAUAGCUACGUAGCAGUUUGCUUUUACUUCUCACAUAGCCAGAACAAAACAGUAUUAAACGCUUUUAGUGUCACUGCUCGUUGUCGGUUAAUGUUAACUACAGCUUUGUUCAUUUUGUUACAUGUAGACAUGUAAGUUAUGUUUCAAAUACAUACAAUCUCACUGUUA